CCUACGGGUGGCAGCAGUGGGGAAUAUUGCACAAUGGGGGAAACCCUGAUGCAGCGACGCCGCGUGAGUGAAGAAGUAUUUCGGUAUGUAAAGCUCUGUCAGCAGGGAAGAAAAUGACGGUACCUGACCAAGAAGCCCCGGCUAACUACGUGCCAGCAGCCGCGGUAAUACGUAGGGGGCAAGCGUUAUCCGGAUUUACUGGGUGUAAGGGGAGCGUAGACGGCAGGGCAAGUCUGGAGUGAAAGGCGGGGGCUCAACCCCCGGACUGCUCUGGAAACUGGCAGGCUGGAGUGCAGGAGAGGUAAGUAGAAUUCCAAGUGUAGCGGUGAAAUGCGUAGAGAUUAGGAGGAACACCAGUGGCGAAGGCGGCUCACUGGACUGUAACUGACGUUGAGGCGCGAAAGCGUGGGGAGCAAACAGGAUUAGAUACCCCAGUAGUC
RNAcentral lists this ribosomal RNA (440 nucleotides) under uncultured bacterium. RNAcentral describes it as "partial 16S ribosomal RNA". It matches the Rfam family "Bacterial small subunit ribosomal RNA", at positions 338 to 795 of the family's 1533-position model. The record is from RNAcentral.